This 329-nucleotide unclassified non-coding RNA is filed under the name soil metagenome. RNAcentral's name for it is "partial contains 5.8S ribosomal RNA, internal transcribed spacer 2, and large subunit ribosomal RNA". The stretch from base 1 to 120 matches the Rfam family "5.8S ribosomal RNA", at positions 35 to 154 of the family's 154-position model. The record is from RNAcentral.
GAUGAAGAACGUAGCGAAAUGCGAUAAGUAGUGUGAAUUGCAGAAUUCAGUGAAUCAUCGAAUCUUUGAACGCACAUUGCGCCCCUUGGUAUCCCGAGGGGCAUGCCUGUUCGAGCGUCAUUUCACCACUCGAGCCUGGCUUGGUGUUGGGCGACGUCCCCUUUAGGGACGCGCCUCGAAACGCUCGGCGGCGUGGCACCGGCUUUAAGCGUAGCAGAAUCUUUCGCUUUGGAAGUCGGGGCCCCGCCUGCCGGAAUACCUACUCGUAAGGUUGACCUCGGAUCAGGCAGGGAUACCCGCUGAACUUAAGCAUAUCAAUAAGCGGAGGA